UCUUGCAAAAACUGUUGCAAACUUCCCAUGAACGGCAGCAUUACCAAUCCACCAUUUAAUAGCCCCAUCAUUUGGCGUGUCAAUUAUGAAUUCAUCUGUGAGUGGAUCAAAGGUGGCAACUGUCUGAAGACCUUGGACAUUGGAACCAUGAUGAAGCUCCGUCAUUGCAAAGCAUCCCGGGUAGUCCACAUUGUCUAUACCAUCAAAGUAUUUGUCUCUGUGCUUUUUAGUUCCCAAGUUGAUAACAGAACCUCCCCAUAGACUGUACUGAACACCCAUUUUGAUGCCAAGUGACAUGUCAACGCUUCCCACGGCUUCAGCAAUCGCAAAAUACUUGGCCGGAUCGUCAACCACAUACCUAAAUGGCCUAAUUCCACCUUCCCUUACCAAACCCACAAGCUGUUUCAUGCACAAUUCCCUGUGUUCAUCUUUCGAUAUCUCAAUCGGUGUUUGAAGUUCCGGUCUUGAAUUAAAGUAAGCAAAUACUUUUUCCUGUAUAUCCCUAUGCUUCCCUCUCAUGUACUCUGACAGCG
Molecule: unclassified non-coding RNA, 533 nt
Filed under: Hevea brasiliensis (rubber tree)
Lineage: Eukaryota; Viridiplantae; Streptophyta; Magnoliopsida; Malpighiales; Euphorbiaceae
Source: RNAcentral